This 497-nucleotide ribosomal RNA is filed under the name uncultured bacterium. Its description in RNAcentral is "partial 16S ribosomal RNA". It matches the Rfam family "Bacterial small subunit ribosomal RNA", at positions 28 to 507 of the family's 1533-position model. The record is from RNAcentral.
GAUGAACGCUGGCGGCGUGCCUAAUACAUGCAAGUCGAGCGAACAGACGAGGAGCUUGCUCCUCUGACGUUAGCGGCGGACGGGUGAGUAACACGUGGAUAACCUACCUAUAAGACUGGGAUAACUUCGGGAAACCGGAGCUAAUACCGGAUAAUAUAUUGAACCGCAUGGUUCAAUAGUGAAAGACGGUUUUGCUGUCACUUAUAGAUGGAUCCGCGCCGCAUUAGCUAGUUGGUAAGGUAACGGCUUACCAAGGCAACGAUGCGUAGCCGACCUGAGAGGGUGAUCGGCCACACUGGAACUGGGACACGGUCCAGACUCCUACGGGAGGCCGCAGUAGGGAAUCUUCCGCAAUGGGCGAAAGCCUGACGGAGCAACGCCGCGUGAGUGAUGAAGGUCUUCGGAUCGUAAAACUCUGUUAUUAGGGAAGAACAAAUGUGUAAGUAACUAUGCACGUCUUGACGGUACCUAAUCAGAAAGCCACGGCUAACUACGUG